GCCCAAGAGAUCGGGAUAACACCUGGAAACAGAUGCUAAUACCGGAUAACAAUAGAUGAUGCCUAUCAACUGUUUAAAAGAUGGUUCUGCUAUCACUCUUGGAUGGAUCUGCGGUGCAUUAGCUAGUUGGUAGGGUAACGGCCUACCAAGGCGAUGAUGCAUAGCCGAGUUGAGAGACUGAUCGGCCACAUUGGGACUGAGACACGGCCCAAACUCCUACGGGAGGCAGCAGAC
This 234-nucleotide ribosomal RNA is filed under the name uncultured Lactobacillus sp. Its description in RNAcentral is "partial 16S ribosomal RNA". It matches the Rfam family "Bacterial small subunit ribosomal RNA", at positions 128 to 354 of the family's 1533-position model. Lineage: Bacteria; Bacillati; Bacillota; Bacilli; Lactobacillales; Lactobacillaceae. The record is from RNAcentral.